Long non-coding RNA from Pangasianodon hypophthalmus (striped catfish), 550 nucleotides. RefSeq lists it as uncharacterized. NCBI's taxonomy places the organism in Eukaryota, Metazoa, Chordata, Actinopteri, Siluriformes, Pangasiidae. The record is from RefSeq and is a predicted model, not a curated record. The transcript has 3 exons.
CUGUUGAAUUCUGGACUCUGACUGGUCAGAAGCUGGUGAUUCAUUUUCAGUUCUCAGGUUGUCUCUCAGAGAGGAUCUUUAAAGUUUCAAUGCAGACACUAAACAGUGUUUCUCUAUCAGAAAGAGCUCCAUGCAGAACCCUUUUUGUGAAGCUAAGAACCCUUAUUUACCCAGGAACCCCUUAAAGAACUCUAAAAGAACCCUUAAAGAACCCUUUUCCCAAGAGUGUGUGCAUUAACUGGUUGGAGGUUAAGACCUUGAGUCGAAUGCAGCAUAUUCUUUUCUCAGCAAUUAUAAGAGAAGGUUGAUGCCCAAUACUGAAACUUCUUCAGGAUUCUUCACUGUCUGGAGGAUGUGAGGAUGUUCAUCAUGAUGAUCUAUUUCUGCUUGGAGCUUCUGCACUUCUCACAUUUUCAUCGUUCCCAAAAACCAUGUGAUUUUGUCCUUGAGGAAAGUCAGCGUGUGAAUAAAGCAGCAUGGAGCUCAGCAGCUCUCCUGUAACCUGAGGACUGACCCAGCAUGCAUCUCUCUCUCGUGGACGCUGCAAGAC